GAAAAAGGAAAAGAUGAGGAGGUUCUUGAGAGGCUCUUCAAGCAGUAACCCCAAGGAGGACGAGAAGAACCACCCCAAGUACGUAGUCCCUCGAGUCACAGAAGUUCGAGCGUGCGAGUGGCCAAGUGAUGAAUUUUUGCGCGCCGCCAGACUUUAUGAAGACUUUUAUUACUUGGUGUAGAACGCAGGUCUUACUGCGUUUGUUGAAUAUAACUGCCCACAGUAUCUCCUCCUCACCAAUAUUUUUGUUCAAAGCUUCAACUUUUAUCCGAGGAAGAAUCCUCCCAUGGUUGAGUUCAUGAUAUACGAUGUUCCCCGAUGUUCCCCAGUGCAUGACGCUGCAGGAUUUUUGC
RNAcentral lists this long non-coding RNA (353 nucleotides) under Hordeum vulgare. RNAcentral describes it as "long non-coding RNA (HVUL_LNC019276)". Lineage: Eukaryota; Viridiplantae; Streptophyta; Magnoliopsida; Poales; Poaceae. The record is from RNAcentral.